AUGAGUAAUGAUUCCUUCCUAAUCUGUUCUUGGAAUGUAUGAGGACUUGGUGAUAAUGAUAAGUGCACCGACGUGCUUGCUGAACUAAUCGCGACCAAACCACACAUCACACCCCUACAAGAAUCAAAACUCGACUCUCUUCUCGACACUAAAAUGAAAUCCUUCCUCCCACGCCAGACCGACCACGUUUUCUCCUUGCCAGCGGUCGGCUCCGCGGGUGGCACCAUCUCGGCCAUCAACUCUGCCUACUUCCAAGUCGUGUCCUUCUCCCACUUAACAUUUUCAUCCACACUAAUCCUCCAAUCAACCGCCUGCGCGCGCCACAUUGCCAUUACUAACAUUUACGCUCCCUCCUCGCGCUCACUCAAGCCAGCUUUCCUAGACGAACUCACCUCCAUCGCACAACCAGAUGACACCCCUUGGCUCAUCGCUGGCGACUUCAACCUUAUCCGUUUUCCCUCUGAGAAAAAUAAUCCCGCCUUCCACUCCGCCGAAGCCAACGCAUUCAAUCAAACUCUAGAUACCCUAGCUCUCAUCGAAUUGCCCCUGCUCGAUCGUAGGUUUACUUUGUCCAACAACCGUGCCUCCCCCACCCUAGAACGACUAGAUCGCGUCUUC
RNAcentral lists this ribosomal RNA (618 nucleotides) under Triticum aestivum (bread wheat). RNAcentral's name for it is "partial small subunit ribosomal RNA". The record is from RNAcentral. Lineage: Eukaryota; Viridiplantae; Streptophyta; Magnoliopsida; Poales; Poaceae.